Molecule: ribosomal RNA, 490 nt
Filed under: uncultured bacterium
Lineage: Bacteria
Description: partial 16S ribosomal RNA
Rfam family: Bacterial small subunit ribosomal RNA
Source: RNAcentral
AUUGAACGCUGGCGGCAGGCCUAACACAUGCAAGUCGAACGGUAACAGGAAACAGCUUGCUGUUUCGCUGACGAGUGGCGGACGGGUGAGGAAUGUCUGGGAAACUGCCUGAUGGAGGGGGAUAACUACUGGAAACGGUAGCUAAUACCGCAUAACGUCGCAAGACCAAAGAGGGGGACCUUCGGGCCUCUUGCCAUCGGAUGUGCCCAGAUGGGAUUAGCUAGUAGGUGGGGUAACGGCUCACCUAGGCGACGAUCCCUAGCUGGUCUGAGAGGAUGACCAGCCACACUGGAACUGAGACACGGUCCAGACUCCUACGGGAGGCAGCAGUUGGGAAUAUUGCACAAUGGGCGCAAGCCUGAUGCAGCCAUGCCGCGUGUAUGAAGAAGGCCUUCGGGUUGUAAAGUACUUUCAGCGGGGAUGAAGGGAGUAAAGUUAAUACCUUUGCUCAUUGACGUUACCCGCAGAAGAAGCACCGGCUAACUCCGUG